This 202-nucleotide long non-coding RNA is filed under the name Elaeis guineensis (African oil palm). RNAcentral's name for it is "long non-coding RNA (EGUI_LNC064711)". Lineage: Eukaryota; Viridiplantae; Streptophyta; Magnoliopsida; Arecales; Arecaceae. The record is from RNAcentral.
UAGGAGUCCGGAAGGAGGCCGCUGACUGUAGAAGUUCUACUGUCGGAGAAGCCCGAACAUUGACGAAGUUUGGAAGAAGCUCGGAGUAAAGUGGAUCAUGACAGGAGAAAGUCUGGAAGAGAUUCGGAGAGUAGUCGAUCACUGUAGAAUAAUCGACUGAUAGUGAAGCCCUGAGAGUAUUUGGAGCAGUUCGAUAGAUGAC